UACGUAGGGACCGAGCGUUGUCCGGAAUCAUUGGGCGUAAAGCGCGUGUAGGCGGUCCGGUAAGUCCGCUGUGAAAGUCGGGGGCUCAACCCUCGAAUGCCGGUGGAUACUGUCGGGCUAGAGUGCGGAAGAGGCGAGUGGAAUUCCUGGUGUAGCGGUGAAAUGCGCAGAUAUCAGGAGGAACACCUAUUGCGAAGGCAGCUCGCUGGGACGUAACUGACGCUGAGACGCGAAAGCGUGGGGAGCAAACAGG
This 253-nucleotide ribosomal RNA is filed under the name uncultured bacterium. RNAcentral describes it as "partial 16S ribosomal RNA". It matches the Rfam family "Bacterial small subunit ribosomal RNA", at positions 524 to 776 of the family's 1533-position model. The record is from RNAcentral.